This 253-nucleotide ribosomal RNA is filed under the name uncultured bacterium. RNAcentral describes it as "partial 16S ribosomal RNA". It matches the Rfam family "Bacterial small subunit ribosomal RNA", at positions 524 to 776 of the family's 1533-position model. The record is from RNAcentral.
UACGUAGGGGACCAGCGUUGUCCGGAUUUACUGGGCGUAAAGAGCGCGCAGGCGGUCGUUCAAGUCGGGUGUGAAAGCCCCCGGCUCAACUGGGGAGGGUCAUUCGAUACUGAUCGACUGGAAGGCAGGAGAGGGAAGCGGAAUUCCCGGUGUAGUGGUGAAAUGCGUAGAUAUCGGGAGGAACACCAGUGGCGAAGGCGGCUUCCUGGCCUGUUCUUGACGCUGAGGCGCGAAAGCUAGGGGAGCAAACGGG